Malania oleifera is the source of this 2283-nucleotide RNA transcript. It is a transcript of the gene named putative RING-type E3 ubiquitin transferase C3H69, with no coding region annotated. Lineage: Eukaryota; Viridiplantae; Streptophyta; Magnoliopsida; Santalales; Ximeniaceae. The transcript has 8 exons. The record is from RefSeq and is a predicted model, not a curated record.
UAUUUAUACGCACGGAGCAAAUGUUGCGGAAAUUCUCUCUCCUCUCUAUCGCGCGCGCGUUGGGUCUUCACGUGCGAUUCUGUACAUUCCUGGACGGGCUCUUCGUCUCGCGCUCGAUUCGAUUCGAUUCAGUUCUCAGAAGCUUUCGUCAUGUCUAAUAGAGUUCUUUGCAAGUUCUUUGCACAUGGAGCGUGUCUAAAAGGGGAGCAUUGCGAGUUUUCUCAUGACUGGAAGGAUCCACCAAAUAAUAUUUGCACCUAUUAUCAGAGAGGGGCAUGCUCCUAUGGUAGUCGGUGUAGAUAUGAGCAUGUAAGGGUUUCUCGCUCUCGUACUUCUACUGCAUCUUCAUCAUCAAGUUCUCGCCAGGCUUUUGCUUUAGAUUCUGGUCCUCUAGCUCAUCCUUCCUCAACUGCAUCAACUGUGGUAACUUCAACUCCCAGUGUUUCUUCUGAUGUUUUAGCUUUAAGUGGGCCUUUAUUUCCUCCAACAAAACCAGCAUGGAGCCAGGAAUCUCCACAUCAUGAUUUCUUUGAGAAUGGUGAUCCAGUGGAGUCUCUGGAGUCUCUGAGUAUAAGGCCAUCUGACAAACCUAUUUGUUCAUUUGCUGCUGCUGGUAAUUGUCCACGUGGGGAAAAAUGCCCCCAUGUUCAUGGGGAAUUAUGUCCCUCUUGUGGAAAACAUUGUUUGCAUCCUUUCAGACCCGAGGAAAGAGAGGAACAUGUAAGAACAUGUGAGAAAAAACAAAAGCAUCUUGAAUCGUUGAAGCACAGCCAAGAAAUAGAAUGCAGUGUGUGCCUUGAACGUGUUCUGUCGAAACCCACACCAGCUGAACGGAAGUUUGGUUUGUUAUCAGAAUGUGAUCAUCCAUUCUGUAUAACCUGUAUUAGGAAUUGGCGUAAUAGUUCUCCAACAUCUGGGAUGGAUGUCAAUACCGCAUUGAGGGCCUGUCCAAUAUGUCGCAAGCUUUCAUACUUCGUCAUACCCAGUGUUAUUUGGUAUACCACAAAAGAAGAGAAACAAGAAAUUGUUGACAGCUACAAAGCAAAGCUCAGGUCCAUUAAUUGCAAAUACUUUGACUUUGGAAAUGGAGCAUGUCCAUUUGGGACCAGUUGUUUUUACAAGCAUGAAUACCGUGAUGGGCGUACAGAGGAAGUAGUUCUGCGGCACCUUGGUGCUGAAGAUGGAAACAUUGUUAUAGCUAAAAAUAUUAGGCUUUCAGAUUUCCUUGGUAGCUUGCACAUAAGGUGAAGUGAGCUGCUGUUUGAAACUUGCAGUGAUGCCUAAUAAUAUUAUGAAGAAAAUAUGUGGGACCUGAGAUGCCAAUAUUUUCUUGAAUUUCUGUACCCUACAUCGCAUAAGGAAAAUAUGAUGUGUCAGCAUUGCUGAUGAUAGUGUUAUGUGUGGAAGUUGUCUUCUAUUAAGGAUGUUAUAUUGCCUUCAUCGCUGAAGGCUGAAAUUGCUGUACUGUACAUGCUUGUUUUUUUUUUUUCGCUUCUUCUGUUGAAACAAGGUAAAUCCUACAUGGAUUAAGCACAAUAGCUGUUUGCUUUUGCCUUACAUGGUUUUACUUCUUGCCUCUGAUGGAAGGUCCACUGGUCUGGUUUUGGUAAGCGGUGUGCCACAUUACCUGGGAUGAACCGAGGGUAACUGUCACUAUUCCUUAUUUGUGUUGGAUGUGCGCGUUAUCUGUAUCAUAUUCUCAUAUGCUGUUUAUGCAAUGUACCCAUGCGGACGCGUGCGAGGUGGGAAUGGGAGUAGUGAAUGGCUUGCUGGAUUUGAGGCAGCAGAUCGGGGGAAUAAACAAGUUUUCCUUUCAUACUGAAUAAAGUAAGGGCGUGCAGCAAAGUUUAUGCCUCCAUGGAAUGGGUUUGAGGUUUUUAUUGUAAAUCAGCCCCUUUCAGGACAAUGAAUUAUGUAAAAAUUUUAAGCGCCCAUGCCCCAUCUUUCCUCUGCCUCAUCCGGAAGACACACAGAAACUCUAUAGAUGUAGACUGCAAUACCCUACCAGGUUCUGAGCAAUGUUGCUUCAUAGUUGGGUGGUUUGAAAAUAUUAUUAUUAUUAUUGUUAGUAUGAGUUAUUUGAGCUCCAUUGGGGAGCUUCUGCCAAAGUUGCUAUGUCAAGUUAUACCAGAUUUUGUUGGACAUGUGAUAUGAUUGUGAGUUUGACACUUGAGCUAUAUGUUUCGCAAUGGUCUUUGUAAAUUUUAAAAAGGACGUGGGGGGAUGUUCUCUGGAAUGGUGAUAGCAAAUUUGGUAAUGAAUUAGAAGUUUUGGCAUGGUUCA